GUGAACCAGCGGAGGGAUCAUUACAGAGUUGCAAAACUCCAACAAACCAUCGCGAAUCUUACCCGUACGGUUGCCUCGGCGCUGGCGGUCCGGAAGGCUCUCGGGCCCCCCGGAUCCUCGGGUCUCCCGCUCGCGGGAGGCUGCCCGCCGGAGUGCCGAAACCAAACUCUUGAUAUUUUAUGUCUCUCUGAGUAAACUUUUAAAUAAGUCAAAACUUUCAACAACGGAUCUCUUGGUUCUGGCAUCGAUGAAGAACGCAGCGAAAUGCGAUAAGUAAUGUGAAUUGCAGAAUUCAGUGAAUCAUCGAAUCUUUGAACGCACAUUGCGCUCGCCAGUAUUCUGGCGAGCAUGCCUGUUCGAGCGUCAUUUCAACCAUCAAGCUCUGCUUGCGUUGGGGAUCCGCGUCUGACGCGGUCCCUCAAAAACAGUGGCGGGCUCGCUAGUCACACCGAGCGUAGUAACUCUACAUCGCUAUGGUCGUGCGGCGGGUUCUUGCCGUAAAACCCCCAAUUUCUAAGGUUGACCUCGGAUCAGGUAGGAAUACCCGCUGAACUUAA
RNAcentral lists this ribosomal RNA (557 nucleotides) under Sordaria sp. C58. RNAcentral describes it as "eukaryotic LSU rRNA". The stretch from base 213 to 366 matches the Rfam family "5.8S ribosomal RNA". Lineage: Eukaryota; Fungi; Ascomycota; Sordariomycetes; Sordariales; Sordariaceae. The record is from RNAcentral.